RNAcentral lists this ribosomal RNA (301 nucleotides) under uncultured bacterium. RNAcentral describes it as "partial 16S ribosomal RNA". It matches the Rfam family "Bacterial small subunit ribosomal RNA", at positions 509 to 807 of the family's 1533-position model. The record is from RNAcentral.
CAGUAGCCGCGGUAAUACGAAGGGGGCUAGCGUUGCUCGGAAUUACUGGGCGUAAAGGGCGCGUAGGCGGACAGUUCAGUCGGGGGUGAAAGCCCGGGGCUCAACCCCGGAACUGCCUUCGAUACUGGCUGUCUUGAGUACGGGAGAGGUGUGUGGAACUCCGAGUGUAGAGGUGAAAUUCGUAGAUAUUCGGAAGAACACCAGUGGCGAAGGCGGCCAUCUGGGACAACACUGACGCUGAGGCACGAAAGCGUGGGGAGCAAACAGGAUUAGAUACCCCUGUAGUCCCUGUCUCUUAUAC